GACGAACGCUGGCGGCGUGCUUAACACAUGCAAGUCGAACGGAAAGGCCCUGCUUGCAGGGUGCUCGAGUGGCGAACGGGUGAGUAACACGUGGGUGAUCUGCCCCUUACUUUGGGAUAAGCCUGGGAAACUGGGUCUAAUACUGGAUAGGACCAUGCUGUAGGUGGUGUGGUGGAAAGAUUAGUUUCGGUAAGGGAUGAGCUCGCGGCCUAUCAGCUUGUUGGUGGGGUAAUGGCCUACCAAGGCGUCGACGGGUAGCCGGCCUGAGAGGGUGGACGGCCACAUUGGGACUGAGAUACGGCCCAGACUCCUACGGGAGGCAGCAGUGGGGAAUAUUGCACAAUGGGCGCAAGCCUGAUGCAGCGACGCCGCGUGGGGGAUGACGGCCUUCGGGUUGUAAACUCCUUUCAGCCAUGACGAAGCCCUAGUGGUGACGGUAGUGGUAGAAGAAGCACCGGCUAACUACGUG
Molecule: ribosomal RNA, 469 nt
Filed under: uncultured bacterium
Lineage: Bacteria
Description: partial 16S ribosomal RNA
Rfam family: Bacterial small subunit ribosomal RNA
Source: RNAcentral